UUGCUCAGAUUGAACGCUGGCGGCAGGCUUAACACAUGCAAGUCGAGCGGAGAGAGGUAGCUUGCUACUGAUCUUAGCGGCGGACGGGUGAGUAAUGCUUAGGAAUCUGCCUAUUAGUGGGGGACAACAUUUCGAAAGGAAUGCUAAUACCGCAUACGUCCUACGGGAGAAAGCAGGGGAUCUUCGGACCUUGCGCUAAUAGAUGAGCCUAAGUCGGAUUAGCUAGUUGGUGGGGUAAAGGCCUACCAAGGCGACGAUCUGUAGCGGGUCUGAGAGGAUGAUCCGCCACACUGGGACUGAGACACGGCCCAGACUCCUACGGGAGGCAGCAGUGGGGAAUAUUGGACAAUGGGCGCAAGCCUGAUCCAGCCAUGCCGCGUGUGUGAAGAAGGCCUUAUGGUUGUAAAGCACUUUAAGCGAGGAGGAGGCUACUUUAGUUAAUACCUAGAGAUAGUGGACGUUACUCGCAGAAUAAGCACCGGCUAACUCUGUGCCAGCAGCCGCGGUAAUACAGAGGGUGCAAGCGUUAAUCGGAUUUACUGGGCGUAAAGCGCGCGUAGGCGGCUAAUUAAGUCAAAUGUGAAAUCCCCGAGCUUAACUUGGGAAUUGCAUUCGAUACUGGUUAGCUAGAGUGUGGGAGAGGAUGGUAGAAUUCCAGGUGUAGCGGUGAAAUGCGUAGAGAUCUGGAGGAAUACCGAUGGCGAAGGCAGCCAUCUGGCCUAACACUGACGCUGAGGUGCGAAAGCAUGGGGAGCAAACAGGAUUAGAUACCCUGGUAGUCCAUGCCGUAAACGAUGUCUACUAGCCGUUGGGGCCUUUGAGGCUUUAGUGGCGCAGCUAACGCGAUAAGUAGACCGCCUGGGGAGUACGGUCGCAAGACUAAAACUCAAAUGAAUUGACGGGGGCCCGCACAAGCGGUGGAGCAUGUGGUUUAAUUCGAUGCAACGCGAAGAACCUUACCUGGCCUUGACAUAGUAAGAACUUUCCAGAGAUGGAUUGGUGCCUUCGGGAACUUACAUACAGGUGCUGCAUGGCUGUCGUCAGCUCGUGUCGUGAGAUGUUGGGUUAAGUCCCGCAACGAGCGCAACCCUUUUCCUUAUUUGCCAGCGAGUAAUGUCGGGAACUUUAAGGAUACUGCCAGUGACAAACUGGAGGAAGGCGGGGACGACGUCAAGUCAUCAUGGCCCUUACGGCCAGGGCUACACACGUGCUACAAUGGUCGGUACAAAGGGUUGCUACCUAGCGAUAGGAUGCUAAUCUCAAAAAGCCGAUCGUAGUCCGGAUUGGAGUCUGCAACUCGACUCCAUGAAGUCGGAAU
This 1318-nucleotide ribosomal RNA is filed under the name Acinetobacter sp. BOD1. RNAcentral describes it as "bacterial SSU rRNA". It matches the Rfam family "Bacterial small subunit ribosomal RNA", at positions 20 to 1332 of the family's 1533-position model. Lineage: Bacteria; Pseudomonadati; Pseudomonadota; Gammaproteobacteria; Moraxellales; Moraxellaceae. The record is from RNAcentral.